Molecule: ribosomal RNA, 253 nt
Filed under: uncultured bacterium
Lineage: Bacteria
Also listed under: 1 other name
Description: partial 16S ribosomal RNA
Rfam family: Bacterial small subunit ribosomal RNA
Source: RNAcentral
UACGAAGGGGGCUAGCGUUGCUCGGAAUGACUGGGCGUAAAGGGCGCGUAGGCGGACAUAUUAGUCAGGCGUGAAAUUCCCGGGCUUAACCUGGGGGCUGCGUUUGAUACGGUGUGUCUUGAGUGGGGAAGAGGGUCGUGGAAUUCCCAGUGUAGAGGUGAAAUUCGUAGAUAUUGGGAAGAACACCGGUGGCGAAGGCGGCGACCUGGUCCUUGACUGACGCUGAGGCGCGAAAGCGUGGGGAGCAAACAGG